Molecule: ribosomal RNA, 248 nt
Filed under: uncultured Christensenellaceae bacterium
Lineage: Bacteria; Bacillati; Bacillota; Clostridia; Christensenellales; Christensenellaceae
Description: partial 16S ribosomal RNA
Rfam family: Bacterial small subunit ribosomal RNA
Source: RNAcentral
UACGUAGGGGGCAAGCGUUGUCCGGAAUGAUUGGGCGUAAAGGGCGCGUAGGCGGCCUUUUAAGUCUGAAGUGAAAGUCCUGCUUUUAAGGUGGGAACUGCUUUGGAUACUGGAAGGCUUGAGUGCAGGAGAGGUAAGCGGAAUUCCCGGUGUAGCGGUGAAAUGCGUAGAGAUCGGGAGGAACACCAGUGGCGAAGGCGGCUUACUGGACUGUUACUGACGCUGAGGCGCGAAAGUGUGGGGAGCAA